CCUACGGGAGGCAGCAGUGAGGAAUAUUGGUCAAUGGCCGAGAGGCUGAACCAGCCAAGUCGCGUGAGGGAAGACGGCCCUACGGGUUGUAAACCUCUUUUGUCGGGGAGCAAAGCGAACCACGUGUGGUUCAUUGAGAGUACCCGAAGAAAAAGCAUCGGCUAACUCCGUGCCAGCAGCCGCGGUAAUACGUAGGGGGCAAGCGUUAUCCGGAUUUACUGGGUGUAAAGGGAGCGUAGACGGAACGGCAAGUCAGACGUGAAAUCCCAAGGCUCAACCCUGGGACUGCGUUUGAAACUGGCAGACUAGAGUGCGGGAGAGGUAAGAGGAAUGCGUGGUGUAGCGGUGAAAUGCAUAGAUAUUAGGAGGAACACCAGUUGCGAAGGCGUCUUACUGGAGCGCAACUGACGCUGAGGCUCGAAAGUGUGGGGAGCAAACAGGAUUAGAUACCCUAGUAGUC
This 460-nucleotide ribosomal RNA is filed under the name uncultured bacterium. RNAcentral describes it as "partial 16S ribosomal RNA". It matches the Rfam family "Bacterial small subunit ribosomal RNA", at positions 338 to 795 of the family's 1533-position model. The record is from RNAcentral.